Molecule: long non-coding RNA, 295 nt
Organism: Piliocolobus tephrosceles (Ugandan red Colobus)
Lineage: Eukaryota; Metazoa; Chordata; Mammalia; Primates; Cercopithecidae
Exons: 2
Source: RefSeq, a predicted model, not a curated record
GGCAGUAAAAAAAGCGAAACAUUUGUUACAGAAUUAUUAAAUCUUUUAAUUUCUUGUGAAAAAGGAGAAAAGGGAGAUAACAUUCAUUCAAUUAUUGAAAACAAAAAAAAAGAAAUGAAAGAAGUUAUCAGUGAAAAUAAUGAUAUAAUAGAAGAUAUAAAAAAUAUAGAAAGUUUGUACAUGGAUAGUAAUAUAUUGGAAACUAACAACCAAGGUAGUAAUAAUUUUAUAAAAAAAUCAAAAGAUAAAGAAAAUGUGAACAUAUUAAAAGAAAAAGGUAAUAGGUACAAUGAAA